RNAcentral lists this long non-coding RNA (2055 nucleotides) under Monomorium pharaonis (pharaoh ant). RNAcentral's name for it is "uncharacterized LOC105841055". Lineage: Eukaryota; Metazoa; Arthropoda; Insecta; Hymenoptera; Formicidae. The record is from RNAcentral.
AAAAUAGAGAGACCCUUUAUUAUUGGAUUAAUCGUUUGUCAGUAAAUAUCUCAUAAGGAUUCAACUAAAGUGUCAGUAAGACCUAUGCAUAAUUUUCGGAUUGAAUUUCUGCUCCAAGUGUCUUGAUCUCGUAGGAUCGAUUACCGACAUUAAAAUACCGAGAUAGAACGCAAAGAUCAGACGGCCGAAGCCGACCGACCGAUCCUAAAAUCAGAAGUGUAGAGCGAUACGCGAGAGUGUAUACCGGUUGCACGAGCUUACAGACAGUAUACAGAGUGAGAGUCCCUGCGAGUAUGAAACUCAAUUUGAUUCCUGCUUCCCCUCGACCCCCGUCGUCGGAACCGGAGGUGAGUGGGACGAGAGGAACCUGGUCCGCCACCCCAGAAAAGGGGGUGCUCCCAGGGGCGCGCGACUGACCCGACAUCCUGCAGGAUCCAGCCACUCAUAUUGCCAAUUACCAACUCUACGACCCUCUCGCUCUUCGCUCGCUUUGGACUUCGGAUGAUUCCAGCCACUUCCAGGCUGUUCCAGUUACAUCGGCGCCGGUGUACGUUCUCAUAGCCGUCAUAGCUCGAAAAGGCCGUUGGCUAGACGCACGCCAAGUAAGCGUAAUCUCUGGCGAAUAUUAAAGGAUUUAUGUUUCCUCUUACCGCCCCUGUACUGAGUGCACUUUGCGUGUGAUCAUUUCAAGAACAGAGCACGGGCGGGUGCGUUAAUGGCGUAAGAAGCUGGAGAAUGCGGGGACUUGAUAGCCGCGCACAAUCGAAAUGAAACCACGAAAAUACGAUCGCAAAAUCACUUAGGUUUAUUGGAUCGGAUGAGAAGCGGCGGUGCAUUUGGAGAAUUCUUGAGGGAGACACGAGCCUUUGAGAGUGAAACCAGCUAAUUACGAAGCAAGCACCCGGUAAAGUCUUCUACCUUGGACCAUGGCCUCGGAGGGAUAUACGAGGUUGGCAGUGCUUGAGGGGAUCCGCUACUCCCAAAACGUGCACCGGAUGACGCUUGAUCUUUCGGCUAAUUCUGUAAUCCGGGCCGGCACUACCUGCUAACUGCUCACUAAAUCGAGGAUCCAAUCUUCUCCGCUAUCUUCGCUCUUUAUCACGACAAAUGGUCAGCGACAGUGUCGUUACUGUACUCUUUUUGUUUCGGACGAAACGUUUCAUUAUUUCACGAAAAAUUACGACUGCCCUGCGUAAUAGGACCAGUACAUCACACAGCUUGCAAACGCGCGAAAAAAUAACAUUGGUUCUUUAGAUUUAUGGGUUCUGUCAAUGUAUGGCACCAACGUCGAUGGAAAAAAAUAUUUAACUUUAAAACUAGCGUUUUCCAAGGAGGAUGACAAACAGCAGCCUUUUUCCUAGGGUCGAAGUAAAUGAUCGCCAACCUAUCGGCGAAGGUGGCGGAAGUCGCGCCGCGGAACCGCAGAAGUUUCUACGAAUCCGCGGCUGGUUGCAAACUUGCCGAAGGGUCGAAACCGCCGGCGCCGUGAAAUUACUCGACGGGUACCUCCCACGGGGCCGAACUUGUCCGCGACAAUUUCAAACUUAUUUUAACAUUCAUAUAAGCCCCGUGCCCUCGCCGCGUAUGCGAGCGCCCCUGAACCAUCGUCUACGCAUCCCUUUCGCUGCGUAACCCGAGAAGCGACCCAUGUACGACGCUCCUUCCUUGAUGUAAGGACGUGCAAGCAUAAGGGUGGCUUGGGAUUUACAUAAGAUUAUGCGUAAGCCUCCGUACGCCUCGCGGUAAGGGGAUCGACGAAAUGGUGUCGUAGUGAAACAACGCUCCGGGGUGCGUUCAUCUCGCACUGAUAAUUAUAAUAAAGCGGCGUUGUAUAUGACGUACGAGCGAUAAACGUCGUUGUCGAUUCCGGCAUGGUAGAAGCAAUCAGAUGUGAUUUAAGAUUCUUUUAUCGGGUUCGUAAUGCGAUUUGAUUUCAAAUCUUGUAAGAAGUUACGAAAUAUUGAACACUCGGAUAAGUGCGAGAGGAAAAUUUAAUUAAAAAUUGUCUUUGUUUUUGCAAUUUCAUAUUUAUACAUUAAAUUGUUAUUGUAUUUA